GGGCAUUAAGGCGACGGAAGGUUGUAAAAUAAGGCGUGGGCCCACUCUCUCGGGAAUAAUCCUCCACGUCGGCAGGCUCACUCCCGCUUACGUGGCAGGAUUAGCGGUGCACCCCACACUGCACACCCCAUUGAGGGAUCUUGUUGAAGGUCUCGGCGGCGAUAUUGUGAUUCCGGCCGGCAAGGGUGCCCCCUAAAGGUGUCGGCCGUUGAGGUGGUGGUGGCACCCCCACCGGAAUAACCAUCACACACAUUCUCUAACUCGGAGCGCGCGCUUUGAGGUGAGUUAGAGGGCAACGAUGUUGUGAACACGUUACAUAUUUAAGUGCUGGCUUGACAGAGCAGCAGCCGCUAUUGGGCCUUGUGGUGUGGGGGUGUUGCUCCGAAUCGCCGGCGCGUGUUGGGUCUCAAGCCUUAUUCCUCAACCGAACCUCGACCUUUUGUAAUUAAUUCCUUUCAAUUGUACAAACAUAGGAACACAAUGUACAGCCCAACCUUUUGUAAUUAAUUCCUUUCAAUUGUACAAACAUAGGAACACAAUGUACAACCCAGGCCUAUGUUGAUAAGUAUUGUCUAUCAAGCUGGAGAACUGGCC
Molecule: long non-coding RNA, 594 nt
Filed under: Erythranthe guttata (spotted monkey flower)
Lineage: Eukaryota; Viridiplantae; Streptophyta; Magnoliopsida; Lamiales; Phrymaceae
Description: long non-coding RNA (EGUT_LNC000036)
Source: RNAcentral